AGAGCGGAUGGGACAGAAACCAUGGCUGCCUCCUGCGGACCGAGGAUUGGGGCUCCGAAGUGCAAAGGUCACCCAACCUCCAAGGUCACAGGUGAUCUCCGAGGUGAGCUCGUGGUCUUGCCCCCGAGAGCUGUGUCUCUGCAGGGGGCCAGCUCCCCAUGGGGCUCCCAUCCUCCCUUGGGUUUCUGCCCCUCCCAGCACAAGCAGGGUACAGGGCAGGGCGGGGCGCUGAGCUGCGUGCAAAGAUGAGGGAGGCUGUGUAGGUGGCUGGAGCUGCAGCCCGUGCGGGUGCUGCUUCUAAGUACUCUCUGCUCUGGGGAGCAGCGCGCAGGGGUGGGAGAAGUAGCUGCUGGAACACACAAAAGGACAGAAGGCGCCGUGGGCAGAGCGCGCUCCCACGCGCGGCUCCUUCUCCUCUCCCUGUCCCCUCAGAGAGCCCCGCACAGCCUUCCCCCGAGAUGCCGGGAGCCCAGGACACUCAGCUUCCCGGCUUUUCCUCCCCGCUGGUCCCCUCUGCGAGCUCCGUGCUCCGGGAGAAGCCCGGGGACGCCCCUGCCGUCCUCCACUGAAAACCAAAGCCCCAGCCCAGCAUCUGGACCGUGGAGGGCCUGGACUCCCAGAACAAUAGAGAUCCGCAGGCCAGCAGGGUAAAAAUAACCUGGCGGCAGUUACGGCAGCAGAGCCAAUCAGGACCAGCGCAGGGGAAGAGAUGUGCGGAGUCUGACUUCAUCCUCGCGCCGUUUCCACUGCUCCGGCAGGGCCGCAUGACUAAGCUGCUGGGUGUUAAAAAAUGUCUGAGUCUACUUUUUUCUGCCCUCGACUGUGAUGAAAUCGAUUCUUGCUGAAGAGGUUUCGUGCAGCCCACAGAGGAACACUGCGGCCAUCAAUAACCACAGGCCGGGGAUGGAAAACGGGACAGAAAGGAGAAGCACACAGGGCUGAGCAAACUCGAGGUUCCUCCAACCCAGCGCCUCAUGAACAGGCUGGAGACACCGGGUUCAAAUCUCCCUGCUGUCCUCUGGAGGCCUGUGACCUGCCAGCUGUCCUCUCACGUUCCUGCAGAAGACACUCGCUGUUGAGAACCUCCAGGACAACGUUCUUGGCAUGGGACGCUCGGCAGAGAACGCCAACGAGGUCUGCAUGGAGGAACCUACCUUGUGAUGCUACAGAGCACAGCAGACCUUCAAAACCUCUGCCAGGCUCUGGAGCGCAGGGCCACCCAGCCAGGCCCCACAGGGAUGGUACCCUGAGGGGCUGGCCCACAAGCGACCGGGACAUCUCUGAGGGGUGGAUAGAGACUCCUCCCACUAGGCCAGCUGCCGCCACCCGCCCCCAGCGCCCUGGACGAAAAGCAGAAUUGGGCCUCAGCAUCCCAAACUGUGGCUGUGCCCUUCAUGGUCUCCACCCCGCGUUUCCUGGGUUUGUCAGGCAGAGCUAUUUACUUCCACAGUGCCCUGGUAGCCUCCAGCCAGGGCAGCUCUGGGGCCACCCUGGCCCUCACAGGAUGUGCAUGCUGCUUGGCCAGCAGCGGCUAUGGGCCUCGCAAGUGGGCACUGCCAUGGCCGGGGACAGUAGCCCACGGGGCACCUUCCGUGUUCCAGGCACAGUGCCGGGCAACGCGCAGGAAGAGCAGGCUGGCCGCGCAGCCACGUGAGUGCCUCGCCUCAGGCAUUGGCGCCGGCCAACCCUCCUGCCUCACGCCAGGCAGAUCUUCCUGGGUGUUACCUGUCUCCCUCCACGCCCACACGAGCAGCACGGGGCUGUGGUCUUCCGCGUUCUGAACUCUGCGGUAGCCUCAGUCCCUGGAGCACAGGGUGCACCCUCAAUAACUAUCCCCUCAGUGAAGAAGCCCAUGAACAAAGGGUCCGGAUCACAAAGGUGUUCCCAAAGCUUGUGUGUGACAGCUCGGUGUCCUGCUGACAGCACUGCUGGGAAGGAGGAAGUCGGGUUAUCGGAGGUGCCCUCAGGGGUACUGGGGCCCCUUUUGCUUCCAGCCCCCAUGAGACGAACAACCUCCCUCCACCCCCUGCGCCUGCCACCAUCACGGACUGUGCCAUCACGGCCCAAAGUAGCAAAACCCAGUGACCAGGGACCAGCACCUUCGAAACCGUGAACCAAAAUAACCCUUUUCUCCUUACACGCGAUUUUCUCAGGUAUUUUGUCACAGUGCCAGAAACCUGACCACCAGAGGGAUCUUUGGGAUGGUUAGCCUAGAGUGUGAAGAGUUGGCCGUGCCCCGUGAAGGCCAGGUUCUUGAGCUCCCCAAGAUCCAAGACCCCCUACAGGUUUCCCACCCCCUGCAUCCUAGGAAAAGCACAGCCUCAGUUACCCUGCAGCGUGUGGCGGUACUCUGAAGUGACACAGCUUGUUGGCAGGAGAACGGCACUUAGUCUGUGAUCAGAAUCUAAUAGAGGGACAGAUCCCUCUUCAAAGGCCUGAUUUAAGAGAGGAACCCUCAGCAGGGAAGAAAGCCAUCUUCACGGCCAGCGCAGGUGGCAGGUGCUGUCCCCUGCAGCAGCAAACCUGACCGACACCCUUGGCACUGCAGGCCCCCAGGAGGGAAUUCCCAGGGGUACCUCUGCAAUUGCACACCCACUCUCAUCCUUUCAAAGACAGACCUUUUCUGUAAAAGGCUGGCUAAUUUUUUAAAUCUCUUCUCCCAUGAAAACAUUGGUUUUCCCUUUAUACACAUUCCAGAAUUUUUAAUAUUCUCCCUCUCUUUCCCUGCCUCCCCUACCAACCAUACCACCUAAAUAAUUAAAGCAUGUUUUGGGCAGCGGAAAUGAAUGUAUACACUGGUAGCCAAUACACUUGGCCACAGUGCUCUUUUAUAUGUGUAUAAAAAUUAAGGGGAAGAUGCUUACAAUUUAAAGAUCUUUUCGUUUUUGUUUGUUUGAUUGAGACAGGGUCUUGCUAUGUAGUUGAGGCUGGCCAUGAACUCACUGUGUAGCCCAGGCUGGGCUCAAACUUGUGGUGAUCCUCCUGCCUCAGCCUCUCGGGUGCUAGGAUUACAGGUGCAUGCCACCAUGCCCAGCUUUCCUUUAUUCUUUACAACAGUCCUCUGAGCAGAUAGAAACACUAAAUAUAAAGCAUUUAAGCAAGCCAUCCACCAUGGAGGUACCCUGAGUACUCAUUUAAAAGUGGAAAAACCUGAAGCACACAGAGGUAGCUGAGUUGCCCUGGGUAACCCUGGGAAGGGAAGCCAAGCAGUGCAUUCCUUUCAGCCCAGCUUGCAAGGCAGCUCAGUGAAGCCAGCUCCUGCGUACAGGGUGAUCAAAAUCUAGGGGAAAGUUCACACUUUUCAUUUAUUACAGUAAAAGACGUAGCCAUUCAUUCCUCUCCAAACCCUCCUCCCCCUUGCUUUGAACACACUCAUCCCAUCAUUCUUGCCCCUUUCUGAAGCAGUUCUGGAAGUCCUCUUUUGUGAGUGUCUUUAUGAGGUGUGAUCAAAACUACGGUGAAUGCCGCUGCUGAGCGCUGGGGCCAGGCCUCUUUCCUGCCUAGUGCUGGGUGCCACUGUGUGCCUCUCGCGAGAGCAGACGUCCCAGUCCGGAAGGCUGCGCCUGCACAGCCCCACUGGGCUUUGUGGGGAGACAAGGAACACGCUGGAGGGUGCAGGUGUCAGCAAAUACAAACGCUGGGCAGAUCCCCAAGGGUGUGGAUGUCCUCAGGCCUUCUGAGGCUUCAGGCUUCAUUCUGGAGAGACUUCUGCAGGACUUUUCACAGAAAUGCAGCACGCUGAGUUGCAUUUUUAAAGGAUGACUCUGGCUCCCUGUGGACUGGCGGCAGGUUGGCCCGGGACAGAGCAGGACGUUUGUCCCCACUGUGACCACAUCAUCCCACCACCUGCCACGGUGUGAGGAGCUUCGGCCCCUCUCCUGCCAUCCACCCUGAGAAGGAGUCACACCUCCACACUCUGUGUAAAUGGAGCUGUUUGAGACUGAACAGGAUGUGGUCUGGGGAUACAGCUCCGUGGUGUAAGUGCCUGCCUGGCAAGCGCAGGGUUCUGAGUUCAAGUCUCAGGACCAAAAAAAAAAAGAGAGACUGAACAGGUUGUGGAUUUCCCAGAGUCACACAGGCUAUCAGUGACAGAAGAAGGACAAAAGCCCAAGUCUCUGGACCACCCCCACUAGCCCGGGUGGCAGUUCUUCCAGGCCUCCAGAACCUAACCCUGGCUCCCCUAAGCAUCAAGCCGCACGGGUUUACUGAGGUCUUGCUACGAGUCCAGCUGUGCUGGGACCUGGGAGGGACAGUGAGUGGCCAGGGAGACUGCGGUCUGGUCUGGGGAGGAGACUGAAGCUACCAGUUGAUCUGUGGAUCUGUCAUUGGUUUCAGUGAUGGGAGUAGGUGGCAGGGCAGCUUCCA
This is a long non-coding RNA of Chinchilla lanigera (long-tailed chinchilla), 4365 nucleotides long. Lineage: Eukaryota; Metazoa; Chordata; Mammalia; Rodentia; Chinchillidae. The record is from Ensembl.